RNAcentral lists this ribosomal RNA (253 nucleotides) under uncultured bacterium. RNAcentral's name for it is "partial 16S ribosomal RNA". It matches the Rfam family "Bacterial small subunit ribosomal RNA", at positions 524 to 776 of the family's 1533-position model. The record is from RNAcentral.
UACGUAGGGGGCAAGCGUUGUCCGGAUUUAUUGGGCGUAAAGAGCGUGUAGGCGGCUUGGUAGGUCCGCUGUGAAAACUCGAGGCUCAACCUCGAGAUGUCGGCGGAAACCACUUGGCUAGAGUCCGGAAGAGGAGAGUGGAAUUCCUGGUGUAGCGGUGAAAUGCGCAGAUAUCGGGAAGAACACCCGUGGCGAAGGCGGUUCUCUGGGACGGUACUGACGCUGAGACGCGAAAGCGUGGGGAGCGAACAGG